AUACGGAGGGUGCGAGCGUUAUUCGGAAUUACUGGGCGUAAAGCGCGUGCAGGCGGGAAGGUAAGUCUGAUGUGAAAGCCCCGGGCUCAACCCGGGAAGUGCAUUGGAAACUGCUUUUCUUGAGUACUGGAGAGGAAGGGGGAAUUCCCGGUGUAGAGGUGAAAUUCGUAGAGAUCGGGAGGAAUACCAGUGGCGAAGGCGCCCUUCUGGACGGUUACUGACGCUGAGACGCGAAAGCGUGGGGAGC
This 247-nucleotide ribosomal RNA is filed under the name uncultured bacterium. Its description in RNAcentral is "partial 16S ribosomal RNA". It matches the Rfam family "Bacterial small subunit ribosomal RNA", at positions 523 to 769 of the family's 1533-position model. The record is from RNAcentral.